UACGGGGGGGGCAAGCGUUGUUCGGAAUUACUGGGCGUAAAGGGCUUGUAGGUGGCCAACUAAGUCAGACGUGAAAUCCCUCGGCUUAACCGGGGAACUGCGUCUGAUACUGGAUGGCUUGAGUGUGGGAGAGGGAUGCGGAAUUCCAGGUGUAGCGGUGAAAUGCGUAGAUAUGCGGAGGAACACCGAUGGCGAAGGCAAUCCCCUGGGCCUGCACUGACGCUCAUGCACGAAAGCGUGGGGAGCAAACAGG
Molecule: ribosomal RNA, 253 nt
Filed under: uncultured bacterium
Lineage: Bacteria
Description: partial 16S ribosomal RNA
Rfam family: Bacterial small subunit ribosomal RNA
Source: RNAcentral